UUGUGGAUCCCGCCCGGUCUGGUGGCUGGCAGCAGCCGGUGCGUGACGAGGAGUCGUUCGGCCAGGCUCCGAGGGAAAGCAGAACCUGGGAGGCCAGAGGGAUUCACUCUCACCUAUUCUACUGCAGCAGGCCCAUCUAACAUUUGUAGAGAUGGACAUUUGCAAGGCCAGGACAAGCAUAUAAGUGGAACACCGUAUACCAUAAGUCUGCAUAUCUGCCAGGUCCCUAGACCAGAAGAACAGUGAAAACUCAUGGUAAAUGAUUCUAGACAAUGACUUUUCAGCCUAACUGUGCUAUAAACUAAACAGUAUUAUGCUUUGCUUAGGUCACUCAGACUACUGC
Molecule: long non-coding RNA, 343 nt
Organism: Molossus molossus (Pallas's mastiff bat)
Lineage: Eukaryota; Metazoa; Chordata; Mammalia; Chiroptera; Molossidae
Exons: 3
Source: RefSeq, a predicted model, not a curated record